RNAcentral lists this ribosomal RNA (427 nucleotides) under uncultured bacterium. RNAcentral's name for it is "bacterial SSU rRNA". It matches the Rfam family "Bacterial small subunit ribosomal RNA", at positions 355 to 774 of the family's 1533-position model. The record is from RNAcentral.
UAGGGAAUAUUGGACAAUGGGGGCAACCCUGAUCCAGCCAUGCCGCGUGAGUGAAGAAGGCCCUCGGGUUGUAAAGCUCUUUUGUCCGGAAAGAAAAGCUUCGGGUUAAUACCCCGGGGUUCUGACGGUACCGGAAGAAUAAGCACCGGCUAACUUCGUGCCAGCAGCCGCGGUAAUACGAAGGGUGCAAGCGUUACCCGGAAUUACUGGGCGUAAAGCGUGCGUAGGUGGUUGUUUAAGUCUGAUGUGAAAGCCCUGGGCUCAACUUGGGAAUGGCAAUGGAAACUGGGCAGCUAGAGUGCGGUAGAGGGUAGUGGAAUUCCCGGUGUAGCAGUGAAAUGCGUAGAGAUCGGGAGGAACAUCUGUGGCGAAGGCGACUGCCUGGACCAGCACUGACACUGAGGCACGAAAGCGUGGGGAGCAAACA